Long non-coding RNA from Candoia aspera, 427 nucleotides. RefSeq lists it as uncharacterized. NCBI's taxonomy places the organism in Eukaryota, Metazoa, Chordata, Lepidosauria, Squamata, Candoiidae. The transcript has 2 exons. The record is from RefSeq and is a predicted model, not a curated record.
UUUGUUGUUGUUCCUUACUGUUUUCUGCUUGUUAUAUUGUUUUAAAAUGUUGUAGAUUGCCUAGAAUUGCUUGGACAUUUGAGGUAGCUUAUAAACAAAUGACAAACAAACAAAUACAAAGGCCAAAGGUCAAAAUGGCAAGUGGGAAUUAUUAUUUGCUUUCGUAUUAUUAUGAAAGAGCUGCAAAUUUCUGAAUCUGCCCAUGCAUGCUUGCUAACAGACAUCUAUGAUAUUUUUGCUGACACAUUAUAUCAGAAAAAAUAAUUACCGAUGCAAUCAUUACAAUACGUCAAUAACUUUUCAUAUUGCAAAUCUGGCUACCCAUCUUGGAACCUCAGAUCAAAACCUUUAAAUCAAUUUAAUGCUACACUCCUAUCAUGGUAUGACUGCAUCAUUCUGAAUAAAUUCUGCUAAGCUCAGAAGCUUU